UCAUAUGCUUGUCUCAAAGAUUAAGCCAUGCAUGUCUAAGUAUAAGCAAUUAUACCGUGAAACUGCGAAUGGCUCAUUAAAUCAGUUAUCGUUUAUUUGAUAGUACCUUACUACUUGGAUAACCGUGGUAAUUCUAGAGCUAAUACAUGCUGAAAACCCCAACUUCGGGAGGGGUGUAUUUAUUAGAUAAAAAACCAACGCCCUUCGGGGCUUCUUGGUGAUUCAUGAUAACUUCACGGAUCGCAUGGCCUUGCGCCGGCGACGGUUCAUUCAAAUUUCUGCCCUAUCAACUUUCGAUGGUAAGGUAUUGGCUUACCAUGGUUUCAACGGGUAACGGGGAAUUAGGGUUCGAUUCCGGAGAGGGAGCCUGAGAAACGGCUACCACAUCCAAGGAAGGCAGCAGGCGCGCAAAUUACCCAAUCCCGACACGGGGAGGUAGUGACAAUAAAUACUGAUACAGGGCUCUUUUGGGUCUUGUAAUUGGAAUGAGUACAAUUUAAACCUCUUAACGAGGAACAAUUGGAGGGCAAGUCUGGUGCCAGCAGCCGCGGUAAUUCCAGCUCCAAUAGCGUAUAUUAAAGUUGUUGCAGUUAAAAAGCUCGUAGUUGAAACUUGGGCCUGGCUGGCAGGUCCGCCUCACCGCGUGUACUUGUCCGGCCGGGCCUUUCCUUCUGGAGAACCUCAUGCCCUUCACUGGGUGUGCUGGGGAACCAGGACUUUUACUUUGAAAAAAAUAGAGUGUUCAAGCAGGCCUUUGCU
RNAcentral lists this ribosomal RNA (759 nucleotides) under uncultured fungus. RNAcentral's name for it is "SSU rRNA". It matches the Rfam family "Eukaryotic small subunit ribosomal RNA", at positions 24 to 795 of the family's 1831-position model. Lineage: Eukaryota; Fungi. The record is from RNAcentral.